UACGUAGGUGGCAAGCGUUGUCCGGAUUUACUGGGCGUAAAGAGCGCGCAGGCGGUCGUUCAAGUCGCGUGUGAAAGCCCCCGGCUCAACUGGGGAGGGUCACGCGAUACUGAUCGACUCGAAGGCAGGAGAGGGAAGUGGAAUUCCCGGUGUAGCGGUGAAAUGCGCAGAUAUCGGGAGGAACACCGGUGGCGAAGGCGGUUCUCUGGGCAGUAACUGACGCUGAGGAGCGAAAGCGUGGGGAGCGAACAGG
This 253-nucleotide ribosomal RNA is filed under the name uncultured bacterium. Its description in RNAcentral is "partial 16S ribosomal RNA". It matches the Rfam family "Bacterial small subunit ribosomal RNA", at positions 524 to 776 of the family's 1533-position model. The record is from RNAcentral.